AAAAAAAACAAAAAACAUUUCUAUUAAAAAAACUUCAACAUAAAAGCCUGAAUUUCAACAUCAAUAACUGAUUCAAAAGAUUCCAUUUUAAUCAAUGGCCACCUUUAUUGUGCUAAUAAGAAAAUGCAAUAAGUUACUUAUGGAAAAAAAUUGCUUCAAAGACAACUUUUUAGGACCAAUAUUGAAAAAUACAAUGUUGAAAUAUUGGGCUGCAGGACCUGUCUGUAGGACCUUGUCUGUAGGGCCUGUCUGUAGGCCCCUGUUUGUAGGCCCUGUCUGUAGGCCCCUGUCUGUAGGACCCUGUUUGUAGGACCUGUCUGUAGGCCCCUGUCUGUAGGCCCCUGUCUGUAGGCCCCUGUCUGUAGGCCCCUGUCUGUAGGCCCCUGUCUGUAGGCCCCUGUUUGUAGGACCUGUCUGUAGGCCCUGUCUGUAGGCCCCUGUCUGUAGGCCCCUGUUUGUAGGCCCUGUCUGUAGGCCCCUGUCUGUAGGCCCUGUCUGUAGGCCCCUGACUGUAGGCCCCUGACUGUAGGCCCCUUCUGUAGGCCCCUGACUGUAGGCCCCUGUCUGUAGGCCCCUGUCUGUAGGCCCCUGUCUGUAGGCCCCUGUCUGUAGGCCCCUGUCUGUAGGACCCUGUCUCCUCAGUUAAAGUGGGUUGGAAAUAAUUCAUUAAGGUCUCUACUAAGCAAAUAUGUUUCGUUUUUGAGAGGGACUGUGUCGUAUAUAUCCAGCAGCACUUCGUGUUCUGCCCCCCUCCAUUGUCUCCCCCCCACCCCCCGUGCAAUGUAUAUGGAAUACACCAGGGCCAGUAGAGAAUUUAAAAACAACUUUACUUCCUGUCUCAGGUAAACCCAGGGUGAAAAACACAAAUAUGUUUUUAAAGGGGACUGUGUCAUAUAUAUCCAGCAGCACUUUGUUCUCCCACCAUAGAGGUGGACAGAAGGCUCACAGGCAGUCCACCAUAGAGGUGGACAGAAGGCUCACAGGCAGUCCACCAUAGAGGUGGAUAGAAGGCUCA
Molecule: long non-coding RNA, 1015 nt
Organism: Oncorhynchus tshawytscha (Chinook salmon)
Lineage: Eukaryota; Metazoa; Chordata; Actinopteri; Salmoniformes; Salmonidae
Source: Ensembl